UAAUACGAAGGGUGCAAGCGUUACUCGGAAUUACUGGGCGUAAAGCGUGCGUAGGUGGUGGUUUAAGUCUGCUGUGAAAGCCCUGGGCUCAACCUGGGAAUUGCAGUGGAUACUGGAUCACUAGAGUGUGGUAGAGGGAUGCGGAAUUUCUGGUGUAGCAGUGAAAUGCGUAGAGAUCAGAAGGAACAUCCGUGGCGAAGGCGGCAUCCUGGGCCAACACUGACACUGAGGCACGAAAGCGUGGGGAGCAAACAGG
This 256-nucleotide ribosomal RNA is filed under the name uncultured bacterium. RNAcentral's name for it is "partial 16S ribosomal RNA". It matches the Rfam family "Bacterial small subunit ribosomal RNA", at positions 521 to 776 of the family's 1533-position model. RNAcentral also lists the same sequence under 1 other name. The record is from RNAcentral.